RNAcentral lists this ribosomal RNA (489 nucleotides) under uncultured bacterium. RNAcentral describes it as "partial 16S ribosomal RNA". It matches the Rfam family "Bacterial small subunit ribosomal RNA", at positions 30 to 506 of the family's 1533-position model. The record is from RNAcentral.
AUUGAACGCUGGCGGCAGGCCUAACACAUGCAAGUCGAACGGUAACAGGAAGAAGCUUGCUUCUUUGCUGACGAGUGGCGGACGGGUGAGUAAUGUCUGGGAAACUGCCUGAUGGAGGGGGAUAACUACUGGAAACGGUAGCUAAUACCGCAUAACGUCGCAAGACCAAAGAGGGGGACCUUCGGGCCUCUUGCCAUCGGAUGUGCCCAGAUGGGAUUAGCUAGUAGGUGGGGUAACGGCUCACCUAGGCGACGAUCCCUAGCUGGUCUGAGAGGAUGACCAGCCACACUGGAACUGAGACACGGUCCAGACUCCUACGGGAGGCAGCAGUGGGGAAUAUUGCACAAUGGGCGCAAGCCUGAUGCAGCCAUGCCGCGGGUAUGAAGAAGGCCUUCGGGUUGUAAAGUCCUUUCAGCGGGGAGGAAGGGAGUAAAGUUAAUACCUUUGCUCAUUGACGUUACCCGCAGAAGAAGCACCGGCUAACUCCGU